GGCUGGUCUGAGUGCAGUGGUGUUUACAAGUAAUUGAUCACAACCAGUUACAGAUUUCUUUGUUCCUUCUCCACUCCCACUGCUUCACUUGAUUAGCUUUAA
This is an unclassified non-coding RNA of Aotus nancymaae (Ma's night monkey), 102 nucleotides long. It matches the Rfam family "Y RNA". Rfam says of the family: Y RNAs are components of the Ro ribonucleoprotein particle (Ro RNP), in association with Ro60 and La proteins. The Y RNAs and Ro60 and La proteins are well conserved, but the function of the Ro RNP is not known. NCBI's taxonomy places the organism in Eukaryota, Metazoa, Chordata, Mammalia, Primates, Aotidae. The record is from Ensembl.